RNAcentral lists this long non-coding RNA (1653 nucleotides) under Sus scrofa (pig). RNAcentral describes it as "lncRNA (ENSSSCG00035004121.1)". The record is from RNAcentral. Lineage: Eukaryota; Metazoa; Chordata; Mammalia; Artiodactyla; Suidae.
CACCUUGGCUGUGAAACGGGGUGUGUGUGGAGGGCUGGUGGGGAGGGGGCAGCCUGCGGGCGGGGACGUGGAGACGCGCAGGCUGGGGGCGGCGCAGGCGGGCUGAGGGGUCCUGGGCUCGCCAGGGCCUCGUCUGGGGUUAUGACUCCCGCGGGAAGCACGACUGCUUCGGAGAGUUCUCCACCGCCUUCGAGGAGAUGCAGAAAGCCUUUGGGGAGAACCAGUGGGACUGUGUGAACCCCAAGUACAAGCAGAAGAGGCGCAGUUACACGAACUCGGGCGUGGCCUUGCUGGCCGACCCGAAGGUGGCCGUUGACUUCACCCUCGGAACAGCUGCUCCCUCCACUAUAUCAACUCCUUCCAGCCCAGCGAGUACCUGCAGGCCCUGGUGGCCGUGGGCGAGAUCUGCCAGGACUAUGACAGCGACAAGAGGCUCUCUGCUUUGGGGUUUGGAGCCCAGAUCCCUCCCAAGGAUGAGGUGUCCCAUGACUUUGCCAUCAAUUUCAACCUGGAGGACGGCAUCCAGGGCAUGGUGGAGGCGUCCCAGAACUGCCUGCCCAGGGUCCAGCUGUAUGGCCACCACGUGGCUCCCAUCAUCUCCAAGGUGGCCUGCACGGCUGCAGCUGAGGAACGCAGCGGAGAGGCUCCUGUAGGUGGUGGGCGGGCACUGCGGGGACCGCGUGCCUUAGAAGGUGUGCCUGCUGCUGGGGAGGUGGGACCGGAUGGGGGUUUGCAGAGGUUGACAGAGCAGCCCGCGGGAGGCCCUGAGGCAGGGAGCGAGAGGCAGCUGGGUGGCAGUGGGGCUGAGAGACCAGGAGGCCCCAGAGCCAGUGGGGUAAGGUGAAUUCUUGCCCUGGAGGCUGACUUGCCGAGCCCGCAGGCAGCCCGAUGCUUAUGGUUCUCUUGGUCCAAUUGUGUAUACGUCGUUAUUUUUUUUUUUUUUUUUGUCUUUUUUUUGUUGUUGUUGUUGCUAUUUCUUUGGGCCGCUCCCACAGCAUAUGGAGGUACCCAGGCUAGGGGUUGAAUCGGAGCUGUAGCCACCGGCCUACGCCAGAGCCACAGCAACGCAGGAUGCGAGCUGCGGCUGCAACCUACACCACAGCUCACGGCAACGCCGGAUCGUUAACCCACUGAGCAAGGGCAGGGACCGAACCCGCAACCUCAUGGUUCCUAGUCGGAUUCGUUAACCACUGCGCCACGACGGGAACUCCCAUACGUCGUUAUUUUGUUUGCAUGUGCUCUUGUUUGGUUUUUUUGCUUUUUGAGGGUUGCACCCAAAGCAUAUGGAGGUUCCCAGGCUAGGGGUUGAAUCAGAGCUACACCUGCUGGCCUACACCACAGCCACAGCAACGCCAGAUCCUUAACCCACCGAGCAAGAGCAGGGAUCUUGCUCAACCUCACGGUUCCUAACUGGAUUCGUUUCCGCUGCACCAUGACAAGAACUCCUGUUUGCAUGUGUGUGUUUUUUUGUUUUUGUUUUUGUCUUUUUUAGGGCCACAUCUGCGGCAUGUGGAGGUUCCCAGGCUAGGGGUCUACUCGGAGCUACAGCUGCCGGCCUACACCAGAGCCACAGCAACGUGGGAUCCGAGCCAUGUCUGCCACCUACACCACAGCUCACAACAAUGGGGGAUCCUUAACGUACUGAGUGAGGCC